UUUACCUACGGGGGGCAGCAGUAGGGAAUCUUCCACAAUGGGCGCAAGCCUGAUGGAGCAACACCGCGUGAGUGAAGAAGGGUUUCGGCUCGUAAAGCUCUGUUGUUGGAGAAGAACGUGCGGGAGAGUAACUGUUCACGCAGUGACGGUAUCCAACCAGAAAGUCACGGCCAACUACGUGCCAGCAGCCGCGGGAAUACGGAGGUUGCAAGCGGUAUCCGGAUUUAUUGGGCGUAAAACGGGCGCAGGCGGUUGCUUUGGUCUG
Molecule: ribosomal RNA, 265 nt
Filed under: uncultured bacterium
Lineage: Bacteria
Description: partial 16S ribosomal RNA
Rfam family: Bacterial small subunit ribosomal RNA
Source: RNAcentral